CACUGAACUCGUUUCUCAACUCUCUUAUUAUGAAGCUCAACUCAAACGAAGCAGAAGCACAAAUCGAACACGAACCGAGUUAGAGCUGGAUCGACCUUAUUAUGAAGCCUAGAAGAAAAGGUCAACAAAUAAAAAGUGAGAGCUGGGAUGGCCAAACACGCGUUACCAUUUGAUUAAACGAAGGGAAAGUGCAGUGGUCCCCUCCACUCCCCUUAACGAACAAUCAAUCAAUCCCCUCACGCGCCACCACUGUUGGGAACGAGAUUUAUUUCUUUUGGCUAAUCUCGUCAAACCACGUGUGCUCUUUGUCGAACAUUUCGGAUUAAAAGAAACCAGUCUCCACUCUCCACUUCAGUUGGAAUGAAAAUGAUAUUCCGCCAAAACCAAGGCACACGUGUCCCUCCUUUUUCUCCCGAGUGGUUUACACCCACCCGCACCUCAUUGGCCACGUGGGGCCCGCUGAUCUCAGAACUCGAUUACACCAUUGGACGCCAGCUUUAGGUGGGACCCCCACGCAAACGUAUCAGCCAAUGGCCUUUGAGCGCUGUUGGAGAGGUGCCCUAGACACGUGGUGCUUCUCUGCUCCGUUGCUAUGAUUAUCGCUUCAGCUAACCGGAGAGACUACAGAGAGAGAGAGAGAGAGAGGCAGAGAGAGACAGAAAGAGAGAGAAACACAUAGCCGGAGAUCGGCCAGAUCGUCGGGAGAGGAGGCUGAAGAGAGUCAUGGACGGCGGAGGUGGACGGUACGUGGCAUACGGCGGUGGAGGUGGUCAGGAGAAAACGAUAAUCAACCGGAUAAUGCUCAGAUUCCGUCCAAUCGCUCCCAAACCGGUCCCCGGAGUUUCCUCUUCAGGUGGUACUGUCCCCGAGACUGAUAACAGAAGCUUGUAUAAUACUCCGAGCAGGAGAGUUAAGAGGAGGAACAUUCGUGCCAAGAAAAGACUGAAAAGUAAUAGAUCUUCAACAGCAGAUGCAAAAACCGGUAUGAUAAACUCGACCGCCGUCACGCUUCAGCUUUUGCCCGGAGAAGCAAGCUCCAGAGACGGCGGAGAAGUAUCAGGUAUCAGAUCUUGGUUAAGUCUUGACCAGAAGUUUGAGAGAACUCCAGAUAUUCAGGACCACCUAACUUCGUGGUUAAACACAAGACCGUUCAAUGGCUGGACUGAUAUAACAAAACUGGAGGCUGGAUCUGACCGAGGCAGGUUGGUAGAAGCUGCUCCGGUGCCGGUUGUGGAGUCGCGGGUGACGGUGGAAAGCGUGACAGACACGUGCAUGGAUGUACGAGGAUUAGGUUAUACGGACGUUGAGAAAGUGAGGAGUUUGGAGAAGGACACGUGUCCGGGGUUUGUAUCAGACGGUUUUAACAGAGUUCAGUGGGUGAACGAGGCUUAUAAGAAGAUGGUUAGGCAAGGGCGAGACGAGCAGUCGCCGGAGGUUAGGGUUUGGCUGGUGGUGAAGGCGGAGUUGCCGGAAAAUGAGAACCCGGCGUUCAGUUGCAGGGUGAAACUGCAGCACACUUGGCAGAACAAGAAGUGUUCGAAAAUGGUGGUGCCCUGUGAUGUAUGGAGGAUGGUGGAGGGUGGGAAGUUGGCUUGGAGGCUGGACAUGAAGGCUGCGCUCAGUUUGGGUCUUUAAAAUGGAAGACCGGCUGGUUCUUAUUAUUAUUAUCAGAAUAAAAAGUCUGGAAGGACGCUCCUUUGAUUGAGAUGUCGUUUUUAGUCAGCAUUGGAUAAAUUUUAAGAUAAUGAAGAGCAUCCCAAGUAUACCCUCCUUCAGAAAGAUAAAAUUGAAAGGUAAGGUAGAAUGAUAG
Molecule: RNA transcript, 1810 nt
Organism: Argentina anserina (silverweed cinquefoil)
Lineage: Eukaryota; Viridiplantae; Streptophyta; Magnoliopsida; Rosales; Rosaceae
Exons: 3
Source: RefSeq, a predicted model, not a curated record